Molecule: long non-coding RNA, 1315 nt
Organism: Leucoraja erinaceus (little skate)
Lineage: Eukaryota; Metazoa; Chordata; Chondrichthyes; Rajiformes; Rajidae
Exons: 2
Source: RefSeq, a predicted model, not a curated record
AGUUCUUCAGCGAUUUGGCCGAACCCGCGAUUGCCGCACUGAGAGGAGCUCCAGCGAAAACAACACCAGACUAGGAAAUAUCAGGCCAGGCGCAAGGCAGAUAACAUGAAGAUAAACCGAGAGGGGUUCAGCAGAUGCUGAAUGUCAUGCUGGGUAUUUCCAGCAUUUGGUCAUGUGACUACCCCCACACAUACUGCACACAUACUACACAUACCCCCACACAUACCUGAUACUUUGAAAUUCUUGCAGUCUAGUUUGCUCACUAUGAAAAUGUGUCGAUAUACUUUGACCAAGAGGGAAAAGCUAAGCACAAUAUUUCCUACCCACUAUUAUCCCCACAUUGCAGUCAAAGACAAAUUCCAUGUACUUCCCAGACACUCAUUCAGUUAGAAUCCUCUCAGUACUUAGUGGUCCUGGUGUACCAUAGUCUUGUUAUACACGGAUCACUGAAAGAGGAGGCUAUUGCUGAUGCAUAUAUCACAAAGAUGAAGCUCCUGCAAUGUGACAAAGGAUUGAUGAGGAUCCUCCAUCAGCAAGCCACUGAUUAGAAGGUAAACUGCUCAUCGAUCUCAGUUUGAUUUUGGCAAAUGGCAGCCGAAAAUAUCUGGUCACUGUAUCUGAAUUUGCUGCAGACUACAGAAUAAAUAUAGCAGAAUUGGAAGGGACCAAAUAAUUCAAUCACAUGGAUUUAAAGUAUUUGCCUGCCCCCUGCCUCAAAUUGAUGAAAAUAUUGGAGAAAUAAGCGAGUUUGGUAUAUCAACUGCGCGUGCCCAGGUCAUAGGUCAUUUGCGAAUAUCAUUCUCGCCAGGUGAGCUGCUGCGUGUAUACAGACCUGCGUUUCAUCUGUAUUUUCUAGUUUUGCUUCUUCGAGGUAAGAAAAUACUGCUUUCAAAACUAUUAACUAGGUGUACUUAUGGUUCAUUUGUACAAAACUACGAUGAUUUUGUUGGUUUUAUUGCUUUAUGCUUCGGAAAGUAUAAUGGUUAUACCAGUGUCUCAAACUAACUGUUAUGUUCAGUGUACAUAAUAUUGCUUCAAAUAAUAUUAUGUCUACUGAACAUAGUGGUUAGUUUGAGACACUGGUAUAACAGUUAUACGCUCAUUGCAGUCAUUGGUGUGCCUAGUAAAAACUUCGGCAAACAAACUUUUACAGUUUUCCGUGAUAUAUUUGGAUUUGUUCACUCCUUGCGGUAUAGUAAUGCAACUUUAUCAUUGGCAGUAUGUAGGACAUCAGCAGUAAGUGCGGUGAUCAUUCAGGUCGCAUCGUGUUUUAUUUUUUUAACUCGGCUGAAAAUAAACAAACUGUUGGAAGAGA